Molecule: ribosomal RNA, 460 nt
Filed under: uncultured bacterium
Lineage: Bacteria
Description: partial 16S ribosomal RNA
Rfam family: Bacterial small subunit ribosomal RNA
Source: RNAcentral
CCUACGGGUGGCAGCAGUGAGGAAUAUUGGUCAAUGGACGAGAGUCUGAACCAGCCAAGCAGCGUGAAGGAUGACUGCCCUAUGGGUUGUAAACUUCUUUUAUAUGGGAAUAAAACGUUCCACGUGUGGGAAUCUGUAUGUACCAUAUGAAUAAGGAUCGGCUAACUCCGUGCCAGCAGCCGCGGUAAUACGGAGGAUCCGAGCGUUAUCCGGAUUUAUUGGGUUUAAAGGGAGCGUAGGUGGAUUGUUAAGUCAGUUGUGAAAGUUUGCGGCUCAACCGGAAAAUUGCAGUUGAAACUGGCAGUCUAGAGUACAGUAGAGGUAGGCGGAAUGUGUGGUGUAGCGGUGAAAUGCUUAGAGAUCACGAAGAACUCCGAUUGCGAAGGCAGUUCACUGGACUGCAACUGACACUGAGGCUCGAAAGUGUGGGUAUCAAACAGGAUUAGAUACCCCAGUAGAC